This is a non-coding RNA of Pelobates cultripes (western spadefoot toad), 146 nucleotides long. The record is from the annotation of a GenBank genome assembly. Lineage: Eukaryota; Metazoa; Chordata; Amphibia; Anura; Pelobatidae.
CUGUACCUCACAGUCAGCAGCAGACCCUCCCUCCCAGACCCUCCCACCUCCUGGACAGCAUCCAUUGUGAAGCUGCAUUCUUAGUGAGCUGUCCAGGAGGUGGGAGGGUCUGGGAGGGAGGGUCUGCUGCUGAUUGGCUGGAAUGU